UACGAAGGGGGCUAGCGUUGCUCGGAAUCACUGGGCGUAAAGCGCACGUAGGCGGACUCUUAAGUCGGUGGUGAAAUCCUGGAGCUCAACUCCAGAACUGCCUCCGAUACUGAGAGUCUCGAGUCCGGGAGAGGUGAGUGGAACUGCGAGUGUAGAGGUGAAAUUCGUAGAUAUUCGCAAGAACACCAGUGGCGAAGGCGGCUCACUGGCCCGGUACUGACGCUGAGGUGCGAAAGCGUGGGGAGCAAACAGG
RNAcentral lists this ribosomal RNA (253 nucleotides) under uncultured bacterium. RNAcentral describes it as "partial 16S ribosomal RNA". It matches the Rfam family "Bacterial small subunit ribosomal RNA", at positions 524 to 776 of the family's 1533-position model. The record is from RNAcentral.